RNAcentral lists this ribosomal RNA (378 nucleotides) under uncultured eukaryote. RNAcentral describes it as "partial 18S ribosomal RNA". It matches the Rfam family "Eukaryotic small subunit ribosomal RNA", at positions 592 to 976 of the family's 1831-position model. The record is from RNAcentral.
CAAUAGCGUAUAUUUAAGUUGUUGCAGUUAAAAAGCUCGUAGUUGGAUUUCGGGUGGGACGCAGCGGUCUCGCAUUGCGUUUGUACUGCUGCAGCCCUCCUUCUUGCCGGGGGCGGCCUCUCGGACUUCACUGUCUGGGGGUCAGAAUCGGCGAUGUUACUUUGAGUAAAUUAGAGUGUUCAAAGCAAGCUUACGCUCUGAAUAUAAUAGCAUGGGAUAACACGACAGGACUCUGGCCUAUCGUGUUGGUCUAUAGGACCAGAGUAAUGAUUAAGAGGGACAGUCGGAGGCAUUCGUAUUCCGUUGUCAGAGGUGAAAUUCUUGGAUUUACGGAAGACGAACAUCUGCGAAAGCAUUUGCCAAGGAUGUUUUCAUUGA